Molecule: non-coding RNA, 21 nt
Filed under: Caenorhabditis elegans
Lineage: Eukaryota; Metazoa; Nematoda; Chromadorea; Rhabditida; Rhabditidae
Source: RNAcentral
UGAGAUAAGCCAACAACAAAA